RNAcentral lists this ribosomal RNA (253 nucleotides) under uncultured bacterium. RNAcentral describes it as "partial 16S ribosomal RNA". It matches the Rfam family "Bacterial small subunit ribosomal RNA", at positions 524 to 776 of the family's 1533-position model. The record is from RNAcentral.
UACGGGGGGGGCAAGCGUUGUUCGGAAUUACUGGGCGUAAAGGGCUCGUAGGCGGCCAACUAAGUCAGACGUGAAAUCCCUCGGCUUAACCGGGGAACUGCGUCUGAUACUGGAUGGCUUGAGGUUGGGAGAGGGAUGCGGAAUUCCAGGUGUAGCGGUGAAAUGCGUAGAUAUCUGGAGGAACACCGGUGGCGAAGGCGGCAUCCUGGACCAAUUCUGACGCUGAUGCGCGAAAGCCAGGGGAGCAAACGGG